AAUGCUCCUCAUGAAUAUGA
Molecule: microRNA, 20 nt
Filed under: Spodoptera frugiperda (fall armyworm)
Lineage: Eukaryota; Metazoa; Arthropoda; Insecta; Lepidoptera; Noctuidae
Description: sfr-miR-10508a-3p
Source: miRBase by way of RNAcentral